Molecule: ribosomal RNA, 253 nt
Filed under: uncultured bacterium
Lineage: Bacteria
Description: partial 16S ribosomal RNA
Rfam family: Bacterial small subunit ribosomal RNA
Source: RNAcentral
GACGAACCGUGCGAACGUUGUUCGGAAUCACUGGGUUUAAAGGGUGCGUAGGCGGUUCUAUAAGUCAGUGGUGAAAUCCGGCAGCUCAACUGUCGAUGUGCCAUUGAAACUGCAGAACUUGAGUACAGACGAGGUAGGCGGAAUUGACGGUGUAGCGGUGAAAUACUUAGAUAUCGUCAAGAACACCGAUAGCGAAGGCAGCUUACUAGACUGUAACUGACGCUGAUGCACGAAAGUGUGGGGAUCAAACAGG